This 301-nucleotide ribosomal RNA is filed under the name uncultured bacterium. RNAcentral describes it as "partial 16S ribosomal RNA". It matches the Rfam family "Bacterial small subunit ribosomal RNA", at positions 509 to 807 of the family's 1533-position model. The record is from RNAcentral.
CAGCAGCCACGGUAACACAGAGGGUGCGAGCGUUAAUCGGAUUUACUGGGCGUAAAGCGUGCGUAGGCGGCUUUUUAAGUCGGAUGUGAAAUCCCUAAGCUUAACUUAGGAAUUGCAUUCGAUACUGGGAAGCUAGAGUAUGGGAGAGGAUGGUAGAAUUCCAGGUGUAGCGGUGAAAUGCGUAGAGAUCUGGAGGAAUACCGAUGGCGAAGGCAGCCAUCUGGCCUAAUACUGACGCUGAGGUACGAAAGCAUGGGGAGCAAACAGGAUUAGAUACCCGCGUAGUCCCUGUCUCUUAUAC